This 692-nucleotide long non-coding RNA is filed under the name Homo sapiens (human). Lineage: Eukaryota; Metazoa; Chordata; Mammalia; Primates; Hominidae. The record is from RNAcentral.
CUUUUCGAGGUAGGAGUCGACUCCUGUGAGGUAUGGUGCUGGGUGCAGAUGCAGUGUGGCUCUGGAUAGCACCUUAUGGACAGUUGUGUCCCCAAGGAAGGAUGAGAAUAGCUACUGAAGUCCUAAAGAGCAAGCCUAACUCAAGCCAUUGGCACACAGGCAUUAGACAGAAAGCUGGAAGUUGAAAUGUUUUGGCAGGGGGUGAACACUCAUCUGUGGCUAUUCUAAGACCACUCUUAUUUCUUAGGUGGAGUCCAACUUGCCUGGACCAGCUUAAUGGUUCUGCUCCUGGUAACGUUUUUAUCCAUGGAUGACUUGCUUGGGUAAGGACAUGAAGACAGUUCCUGUCAUACCUUUUAAAGGUAUGGAGAGUCGGCUUGACUACACUGUGUGGAGCAAGUUUUAAAGAAGCAAAGGACUCAGAAUUCAUGAUUGAAGAAAUGCAGGCAGACCUGUUAUCCUAAACUAGGGUUUUUAAUGACCACAACAAGCAAGCAUGCAGCUUACUGCUUGAAAGGGUCUUGCCUCACCCAAGCUAGAGUGCAGUGGCCUUUGAAGCUUACUACAGCCUCAAACUUCUGGGCUCAAGUGAUCCUCAGCCUCCCAGUGGUCUUUGUAGACUGCCUGAUGGAGUCUCAUGGCACAAGAAGAUUAAAACAGUGUCUCCAAUUUUAAUAAAUUUUUGCAAUCCA